Capsicum annuum is the source of this 220-nucleotide long non-coding RNA. RefSeq lists it as uncharacterized. The transcript has 3 exons. The record is from RefSeq and is a predicted model, not a curated record. NCBI's taxonomy places the organism in Eukaryota, Viridiplantae, Streptophyta, Magnoliopsida, Solanales, Solanaceae.
AUCAUGUAAUAGGUAUCUGGCACACCAAACGACAUGUGCCCUGAGCUCCUUGCCGGCAUACCCUAUGGCUAUAAAUCUGAUAUAUGGUCGCUUGGAUACUGUAUGUUUGACAUUGCUGCAUAUCAACCCCCGUUUAAAGCUUCUGACAAAACAGGACUUAUCAACAAAAUAAACCGGGGUUUGUUCUCACCAUUUCCGAUUAUAUACUCCACCUUGUAAG